UUCAACUCUUUUAUAAAUAGGGUCGAAGGGGUGUUGGCCCUAUUCGUCUACGAUCUUGGCUAGGGUUUUGCGUGGCUUAGGGUUCCAUCAGCGGUGUUGAUGGCGGUCAAAAGGUGCCGCCAUACCUUCGCUGGAUCCCAUGGUAACACUUUGUUUUAUGUGAGAUAUUUGGCUGUGAUGAGAAUCUAUUCAGCUUCAAAAUGCCAGUUCUGCUUCAGAAAAUUCAUGAUAGAGGAAGCUGAUGAAAACUGAGCCUUCCUAUGUGCACAAGUUAACACUGAAUUUUCUAUUUUUAUCUAUAUUUCAUCGAUCUUUUUCUCUUCUUUGUUUGAAUUUAUUUUGACAGUGUCUGACAACUAACACGGUUGUUUCUUUCUUUUCUGCCUGUGAUGAUAUCUCCGAGUUUAUGAGGUGUCGCUAGCUCCAAGUCCCUGUUUCACAGGGAGAACCUACUUGGUGCUGUAACAUUCAAAUGAUAUGAAGGGACUUCUUUGAGGCAUUAGUUUGGUACUGAUCACAAGGUUGCCUUCAUAUGUAUGAGAUACUGCCAACUAGCAACUACAUUCUGGGUGUUUUUAAAUACAUAUUUAUCCUAUUUGUUUAAAUAUUAUCUUCUGAACUUUAAUAGUUUGUUAAACUUACAUUAUUUUACACAAAGUAUAUAUUUUGGACAUAAAUGUUUAGUCCUUAAGUACUAAGCAAUUUUUGUGAAAUACAAAAUUUUUAACCUUUCUCAUGUCACAGCUCUGCAUGUUAUCACAUGGUAGUGUGAAUUAGUAACUAAGCUAUAUUUGUGAAAUACAAAAUUUUUAACCUUUCUCAUCUUACAGCUCUGCGAUUUAUCACAUAGUACUGUGAAUUAGCAAUGAAAUUUUUUGAAAAAAAAUUACGGAGCUCACUUUUGGUUACUUGUUCUUAAUAUCUAGAAAUAAUUUUUUGAAUUCUUUUGCCACAGCUAGUGAUGAUUUGUCUGCAAAAUCGAUGUGUUGUGAAACCAAGUCCCUGCUUGCAGGGAGAACCUACUUGGGGAAGCAGCAUUUUACAUGACAUUAGUCAGAUACUUCUGAGGCUCUGAGUUUAAAAUGUUUACUCUUUGGAUUCCGUUUGAUUUACUUUUCACUAUUAAAAAUUUAAUUGUACGGUAGAUGGUACUUCCUAGCUAUCCUUACUGUGACAUGGUAUAUGUCUGUCUGCCUGUUGAUCAAGGGUGAAUAUACUUUGUAAAUAAGAAGACCACCUUCUCCACUCUUUUGCAGUUGUUAAAAUCCCACUGAUGAAUCAAAACUUCAACCUUUCUUUGCUUUUUAAACAAAUCAUGGAUGCCAUUUCAAACAAAUGAUGUGGUGGAAGACAACAGAGAGUAUUUUUUGCAGUCCUUAACUAAAUGAGUUUGGAUCCUCUCCAGUUUGGGGUUGAACAUGAAGAGUUCCAUAUUCCAUUUGUAGGCUAUCUGUACAUUCUGGUGGAGCCUGUGAUUGUUUCAGGCUCAGAUCUGCACCAAUCCGUGGAUGUUUGGCGCUGCUCAGCCACAAGUUGUGCGACAAGGAUGGCCCAAGUUUUCUUGCUGCUCUCGCUUUUGUUUUUAAUCUUUAUCUUUUUCCCUCUGUUUUUUGGCUUUGCUAUGAUAAUCACUGCAUGUGAUUGUUCCUCUGGAUUAUGUCACCCGACUUACAUUACUUGUGUCUCCAAGUACUUGAGUUCAACUAUCCUCAUGCUAGCGCUCCCAACUGGCAUGUAGGCUGAAGAACUCAGAAAUUGAGUGUUGUCAUCAGCUUCGUCUCUCAUCAAAUGAGAUUGGAGUUAAAUAACAGCACAACAUUGUACAUUUUCCCAUGUUCUUAUAUGUUAGUUAUUGUCAGGGUUGUGUUUUAUACAAAUGUGUAUGUCUAAAUGUCUAUCAAUUUAUACCUAAAGUGUGUUUUAUGUGUUUUGUUGGGGUAAUUAGAUUGUCCAUAUCCUUGUAUGUUCUUAGUCAUCUUUCAUUUCUCAAUCUGUGGCAUCUAGUGUUAUUUCUUUCAAUUCUUGGUAGUUUACCAUGCUCUGAAGCCUGAAGGUUAGAAUGUCUGAAUAAAAUAUAUUCAAGAUUUAUUAAUAGUUUGUGGAGAUAUUAAUAGUGUCAAUGAUUUGUAACUUUAAACUAAGUACAGUAAUUCAAGUGUUUUGGUUGUAUUAGAGUGAUAAUAUACAUGCAUGCAUGAAUUGUGUAUCCGAUUCACUACCAUCAGCAUUAAGCAGAAGAGGAAAUAUGGUGAUGAUAUGAAGGCUCUUUACAUCUCUGAAGUCGGAGAGCUUGGGAUAGAUUUUCAGGUGCAUCUUAUACUUUUGUGUCUUCAAAUGAUUGGGACAUGCCUGGAUGGUUAUGUUGUUGUUUGUACUUUGGGAGAGGUGGUGAAGCAGUUGUGGGCAACUAUAAGAAAUAUUUGUAAAAAUAAUAGCUUGUGGGAUGGCCUGAUUACACAUAGAAGCUUGAAUGUUUGUGAUCUUUCUAAUUAUCAUAGGUUUCUUCUGGUA
Phoenix dactylifera (date palm) is the source of this 2511-nucleotide non-coding RNA. The record is from RefSeq and is a predicted model, not a curated record. NCBI's taxonomy places the organism in Eukaryota, Viridiplantae, Streptophyta, Magnoliopsida, Arecales, Arecaceae.